RNAcentral lists this long non-coding RNA (810 nucleotides) under Gallus gallus (chicken). RNAcentral's name for it is "lncRNA (ENSGALG00010006710.1)". The record is from RNAcentral. Lineage: Eukaryota; Metazoa; Chordata; Aves; Galliformes; Phasianidae.
CUGAUGGGAAGAAGUCCAGCUCCCAGGUGUAGCAACUUCCAAGGCAACAUUACCACAGACUGAACAAAUGAAUUUUUUCUUGAUAUUCUAUCAACCAAGUGGAAGUGAAAAAAUGCCGUAAAGGAAAUCCAAGCAGUUACAAGCUCAAGCAUACAUAGUAAAGUAUAAAUGUAAGUAACCACAACUGAGAAACAACUGCUUUCCUCAGAGCAUUCCCUGAUGAUGCUUUGGAGCCUGGAGAGGAUGAUGAUGUCAGCAGAAUACUACCAUUUUGUUCUUUUCAUCUUCAAAGGAUUUUAACUAACAAACCCAAAUGAGGCCCCCAUGAGACAGGAAGAGGACGUAGAAACCUUUGUAUACGGCCUGGACCAGUGUAAGGGGAUUGCAAGGCAGCAGCAGUGAAGCACACAGGCAACUUACAAGCAUAAAUGAAAGGUUGGAGUGUAGGAUUCUGCACUUGCCCCUGUUGAACCUCAUCAGGUUCCUCUCUGUCCAACUCUCUAGACUGUCCAGGUCUCACUGAAUGGCAGCACAGCCCUCUGGUGUGUCAGCCACUCCUCCCUGCUACACACUGUCAAGAAGCUUACUGAAUUCUGUUCCUUCAUUCAGGUCAGUGAUGAAGAUGUUGAAGUAGGUUUUAACCCUAGAAAACUGCUGUAAGGAAAAUAAAGGAUUUAAGUACACUAUAUUAUAAGGCAGUAGUUGGGGCUUUUGUUGUGUUUUUUUUUUUUUUUUUUAAUUUUCAUUUUUUCUUCUGUUUGUCUGCUUUGACACAUGGAUGACUUCAGUUCAACAGCAACAUACACUGUG